Molecule: ribosomal RNA, 448 nt
Filed under: uncultured fungus
Lineage: Eukaryota; Fungi
Description: eukaryotic LSU rRNA
Rfam family: 5.8S ribosomal RNA (bases 82-235)
Source: RNAcentral
CGGCAGGCUCGCCUGCCAAUGGGGACCACAAAAAACACUUUGCAGUACCUGUAACAGUCUGAACAAACAAACAAAAAUUAAAACUUUCAACAACGGAUCUCUUGGUUCUGGCAUCGAUGAAGAACGCAGCGAAAUGCGAUAAGUAGUGUGAAUUGCAGAAUUCAAUGAAUCAUCGAAUCUUUGAACGCACAUUGCGCCCUUUGGUAUUCCUUAGGGCAUGCCUGUUCGAGCGUCAUUUAAACCUUCAAGCUAAGCUUGGUGUUGGGUGACUGUCCGCUUCACGGCGGACUCGCCUCAAAAUUAUUGGCGGCCGGUACAUUGGCUACGAGCGCAGCAGAAACGCGAACUCGGGCCCGUCGUAUUGGCUCCCAGAAGCUAUCUUCACAAUUUUGACCUCGGAUCAGGUAGGGAUACCCGCUGAACUUAAGCAUAUCAAUAAGCGGAGGAA